UGGAAUGUGGUGGAGCAAACUUGACUUUAACUAGAACUCUUCGGUUUUACCUUGAGCAGCCAUGGGAUAUUGGAUAUAUAAUGGUGCGGCAUUAUCCAAACCCAAGGCGGCAAGCUCCUUGAGCGUACGGUUGUCCAUGGCUAUACCUUGCUCUUCUCCACCCACUUGUGCCGUGGGAUCCUCCUUGUGCUGUUGUUUCCUCCUUCUUCUCAAAGUUCUCUUGAAGUCGUCGUCAAAGUCUAAGAUAUGCUCAUGAACAGGUCGGGAACUUCGAGUCAUGCACUAGUACCUAAAAACAAAGAAAACAAAACAAAUCAGCAACUUAAACA
This 329-nucleotide long non-coding RNA is filed under the name Malus domestica (apple). RNAcentral's name for it is "long non-coding RNA (MDOM_LNC013508)". The record is from RNAcentral. Lineage: Eukaryota; Viridiplantae; Streptophyta; Magnoliopsida; Rosales; Rosaceae.